UUCCAUUCACUUCUUCUAGCUUAUUCUGUCAUCUUAGUUUCUUUCCCAAGAUCUAGCCUAACAGUUAUGAAUCUGAAAUCUGGUUUAUAUUACUUAUGAGACCUGGGGCAAAACAAUAACUUCUCCAGGUCUCAGUUUCCUCAAUUGGAAAAUGGAUUAGAUGGAUCUCGAAGUCCUUGUCAGCUUUGAAUCUAGGAACCUAAAAUCAUUCCUAGCCAACCGUAUUUCUCACUGAUCAUCCAAUAAGGCUUCUUUACUCCAAUCAGACAGACUUAUAUACUCAAUGUCCCCAAAUAUCUCAUGAUGAUUUUCAACACUCUGCUUUUGCUCAGCCUUCAAGUUGAAAUGGACCUAGGCACUAGUCUAAACUUCUGCCCUAUGCAAGUAUUUUCUACAGCAUCCUUAACAGGUGACCCAACAUUUAUGCUUAUUAAAUUUCAUAUCAUUAAUUGAGACUUCUUACAAGAGAUCUGCCUUCUUGUCUCAAAUUUGUUAUUAAUGAAUCUCCUUGCUUUAGGCAAGUCACUUAACCUACUUUAGUCAGGUCAGUCAGUCAAUAACCAUUUAUUGACUACAAUAUCUCAGGCCUAAGCAUUAGACACACAAAGAGAGGCAAAAAAACUCUAUCCUUGAGAACCUUAAAAAUUCCCAGACCCUACUUCAUAAGAUUGGAUUAAGACCAUUCCCCAUUUGGGCAGUGAACUCUACUUAGAUCAGAAAUGGGAGGAACUCUACUCCACCCCUACUUAAACCUGCUUUAGGGGAGAAAACUCCUUGCUGAACAAUGAAAAGUACUUAAACCCAUACUUAAGCCAUGCCUAUUUUUAGAACUAAUACAAAGGGGUGCUAAGUACCUAUAAAGAUCAGGCAACUUGUGAACUUACAAGGAAAAAAGAGGUGAGAACUUACUCAGAGAUUUUAGUCUACUCAGGUGUGGAUUACUCAAAAGUUUAGUCUACUCAGGUGUGAAUUCAGAAUGGUCUGUCCUUUGGAAAAUGUCUACUGGGAUAGGUAGAUGGAAGAACUUAGGGGAGGUGGCAUAGGAGAAAAUGCCCUUUAAAAGGAGAUGAAAAGCUCUCUCUAAGAAGAGUCAUCUGGGAAAGGCUGCCUUGAAGGGUCUCUCUCUCUAGGGGGACAUUCUGAAACAUUCAGAUUGAGGAUUGAGCUGGUGAAAGCAGCUGAGAUGAUGCUGGCCUGGUAUCACUAGAAUCCUUGCUUGGACAGAUCUUGUGGUGAGUGAUUAAGGACUGACUGAUCUUUUCUCUUAGGGUUUAGGCCUGGAUUGGCCAGGACUGGC
RNAcentral lists this long non-coding RNA (1297 nucleotides) under Monodelphis domestica (gray short-tailed opossum). Its description in RNAcentral is "lncRNA (ENSMODG00000040152.1)". The record is from RNAcentral. Lineage: Eukaryota; Metazoa; Chordata; Mammalia; Didelphimorphia; Didelphidae.